Cavia aperea (Brazilian guinea pig) is the source of this 83-nucleotide small nucleolar RNA. The record is from Ensembl. Lineage: Eukaryota; Metazoa; Chordata; Mammalia; Rodentia; Caviidae.
AAUAGGUAUAAAAAAUUUGUCCUCUUUUGAAACUCAGAACUCAUUGUUAAUUAUGAGUUUUGAUACAUAUAGAAAGGAAUAUU